RNAcentral lists this ribosomal RNA (494 nucleotides) under uncultured bacterium. RNAcentral's name for it is "partial 16S ribosomal RNA". It matches the Rfam family "Bacterial small subunit ribosomal RNA", at positions 28 to 507 of the family's 1533-position model. The record is from RNAcentral.
GACGAACGCUGGCGGCGUGCUUAACACAUGCCAGUCGAACGGUGAAGCGCCUUCCUUUUUGGUGGGUGUGGAUGAGUGGCGAACGGGUGAGUAACACGUGAGUAACCUGCCCUCUUCUUCUGGAUAACCGCAUGAAAGUGUGGCUAAUACGGGAUAUUCUGGGUCUGUCGCAUGAUGGGUCUGGGAAAGCUAUUGUUUCGGUGGGGGAUGGGCUCGCGGCCUAUCAGGUUGUUGGUGGGGUGAUGGCCUACCAAGGCGGUGGCGGGUAGCCGGCCUGAGAGGGUGGGCGGUCACAGUGGGGCUGAGACACGGCGCAGACUCCGACGGGAAGCAGCAGUGGAGAAUAGUGCACAGUGGGCACAAGGCUGAUGCAGCGACGCGGCGGGGGAGAUGGAGGCCUUCGGGUUGUGAACCUCUGUCGCGAGUGAAGCGGGCCUGCCUCGUUUGUGGGUGGGUUGACGGUAGCUGGAGAAGAAGCGCCGGCUAACUACGUG